RNAcentral lists this small RNA (246 nucleotides) under Drosophila guanche. Lineage: Eukaryota; Metazoa; Arthropoda; Insecta; Diptera; Drosophilidae. The record is from RNAcentral.
AAAUCAAAGUUGAAUCCGGUUAGCUGGCAGCAGCCAGCGGCAAUCUAAUUUAUUUGUCUGGCCGCUGGCAAGUGCAGCAAAAUAUUGUUUUUGGGUUCUGCCGCUGCUGUUGCUGCUGCUGCUGCUGCUGCUGCUGUUGCUGCUGCUGCUGCUGUCGCUGCUGCUGCUGCUGUUGCUGCUGCUGCUGCUGUUGCUGCUGCUGUUGCUGCUGCUGCUCUGGCAUCGAAACGUAAUUGUUAUUUAUUU